RNAcentral lists this unclassified non-coding RNA (347 nucleotides) under soil metagenome. RNAcentral describes it as "partial contains 5.8S ribosomal RNA, internal transcribed spacer 2, and large subunit ribosomal RNA". The stretch from base 1 to 120 matches the Rfam family "5.8S ribosomal RNA", at positions 35 to 154 of the family's 154-position model. The record is from RNAcentral.
GAUGAAGAACGUAGCGAAAUGCGAUAAGUAAUGUGAAUUGCAGAAUUCAGUGAAUCAUCGAGUCUUUGAACGCACAUUGCGCCCCCUGGUAUUCCGGGGGGCAUGCCUGUCCGAGCGUCAUUGCUGCCCUCAAGCACGGCUUGUGUGUUGGGCCCCCGUCCCCGGUUUCCCCCGGGGACGGGCCCGAAAGGCAGCGGCGGCACCGCGUCCGGUCCUCGAGCGUAUGGGGCUUUGUCACCCGCUCUGUAGGCCCGGCCGGCGCCAGCCGACACCCAACUUUAUUUCUAAGGUUGACCUCGGAUCAGGUAGGGAUACCCGCUGAACUUAAGCAUAUCAAUAGCGGAGGA